This 65-nucleotide transfer RNA is filed under the name Entomoscelis adonidis. Its description in RNAcentral is "tRNA-Tyr". Lineage: Eukaryota; Metazoa; Arthropoda; Insecta; Coleoptera; Chrysomelidae. The record is from RNAcentral.
GAUGGAAUGGCCGAGUUUAGGCAGUAAACUGUAAAUUUACUUACGAAAAUUAAUUUCUUCCAUCA